UACGGAGGGUGCAAGCGUUACUCGGAAUCACUGGGCGUAAAGGGCGCGUAGGCAGCCUAGCAAGUCUGGUGUGAAAGCCCAGGGCUCAACCCUGGAAGGGCACUGGGAACUGUUAGGCUUGAGUUCCGGAGAGGAGGGGGGAAUUCCCGGUGUAGCGGUGAAAUGCGUAGAUACCGGGAGGAAUACCGGUGGCGAAUGCGCCCCUCUGGACGGAAACUGACGCUGAGGCGCGAAAGCGUGGGGAGCAAACAGG
RNAcentral lists this ribosomal RNA (253 nucleotides) under uncultured bacterium. Its description in RNAcentral is "partial 16S ribosomal RNA". It matches the Rfam family "Bacterial small subunit ribosomal RNA", at positions 524 to 776 of the family's 1533-position model. The record is from RNAcentral.